This 439-nucleotide ribosomal RNA is filed under the name uncultured bacterium. Its description in RNAcentral is "bacterial SSU rRNA". It matches the Rfam family "Bacterial small subunit ribosomal RNA", at positions 959 to 1397 of the family's 1533-position model. The record is from RNAcentral.
ACGCGAGGAACCUUACCAGGUCUUGACAUCCUCUGACACUCCUAGAGAUAGGACGUUCCCCUUCGGGGGACAGAGUGACAGGUGGUGCAUGGUUGUCGUCAGCUCGUGUCGUGAGAUGUUGGGUUAAGUCCCGCAACGAGCGCAACCCUUGAUCUUAGUUGCCAGCAUUCAGUUGGGCACUCUAAGGUGACUGCCGGUGACAAACCGGAGGAAGGUGGGGAUGACGUCAAAUCAUCAUGCCCCUUAUGACCUGGGCUACACACGUGCUACAAUGGAUGGUACAAAGGGCUGCAAGACUGCGAAGUCAAGCCAAUCCCAUAAAACCAUUCUCAGUUCGGAUUGCAGGCUGCAACUCGCCUGCAUGAAGCCGGAAUCGCUAGUAAUCGCGGAUCAGCAUGCCGCGGUGAAUACGUUCCCGGGCCUUGCACUCACCGCCCGU